UGUUCGGUAAAUUUGAGAAUUGUUUAUGUAUGUGGUAGGCGUUGAAAGCGUUUCAACAGGUUUUUAACUUAUUCAGAAUAAGCCAAAAGAUAUGUUGUCCACAUAAAUCAGUGGCAGACCCCUGGGGGGGCGAGAAUGGUGAUCGCCCCCCAAUUCUUUGAAAUACAAUGGUCUUUUUUAUUCUAAAACAAUGACAAUUAUUUAGCAACUUCAGGAAUUAAAUUAAAGGCAGGAAUAUAGUGCUGCGGAAAGAAUAAGGAAAGUUGUAAUCAAAUAUCCAAAAACGUCAUUAACUUGUUUGCAAAGACAACCGCAAAAAAAAUCAAAGAAGAAGUAGGGUCUUGUUGGUAGUAGUAGUAGUAAUGAAAAAACAAGUAGAAAAAUCGGGGGCUAUUUGCUGUGUAAAGUGGGCUAAAUCGUGCUGUGCAUUCAUACCACAGAAUCAGGGCACAGAAUGGAGUGUGCACUAGAGUUUUGAGCUUUGGUAAUUCUGAAAACGAGGCCAAAAGUUCUAAUGGCGCGUGGAGACCAGUGAAAUCAGAAGUUACUUGGGAAUGGCAGAGUCGACUGAAGUUGUAGUAAUUGACAUUACGAAAAAGAACUUUCCAGAGUUGUGGCCAGCCCUAUUAUUUGCUGUACAAAACUCAAGCUUUAUCGCAAUUGACCUGGAACUGAGUGGAUUAGGUGAAAGAAAACAACUGUCUGCCAGAUACAAACUAUGGCACAUAGCAUGUUUGAACAUAACAGCAGGUGGCACAUUUGGAAACUCUGUUGAUGAGAGGUUCAAAGCCCUUUCAAGAACUGCACAGUCUCGAUCUGUUGUGUCAAUGGGGCUGUCUUGCUUUAGACAAGAACCAUCUUCGCGAGAUAGCUUUCAAAGAGAAUUUAAAGUUCAAACAUUUAAUAUUUUUCUGCUAUGUGAUAGUGAAUAUGUUGUUGAGUCACAAUCGUUGCAGUUUUUGGUGAAUCACGGCUUUGACUUCAACAAACAAUAUUCCCUUGGAGUUCCGUAUAGUAAAGAAGAACAGGAGACAUCAGGGAAGAUGCUGACAAUUAGAAGGCUUUUUCUCGAAGUUGUUUCCGCGCAAAAACCAUUAGUAGUUCAUAACGGCCUCAUCGACCUUGUAUUUCUGUAUCAGAAUUUCUACGCCCAGUUACCGAAUUUGUUGCAAACAUUCAUUGCCGACUUGUGUGAUAUGUUCCCUGCUGGAAUAUUCGACACCAAGUACAUUUCCGAGUUUCAUGUCAGAGAGCAUUUCUCGUUUCUAGAAUAUCUCUUUAAAAAGUGCCAGUACAAAAAUGAGGCUUUGAGGGAAGCUAACGAGACCUGUUUACUUGUUAAGGAAGGCAGUUCAUCUGUGCGACAAAUGGUGGUUGAUCAGCAUGCCGUUGUCUGCGCUUUGCCAGAUCUCAAAUUAACCCAGUCAAUCCUUGAAUUAUUACCAAACCUGUGUAAAAGUUUUAAGACUCGAGGCUACUGCUGUCAGAGAGACUCUUGUACCAAGAUUCACAGUGUAGAUUUAAUGAUAAUAGGCGAAAAUGCAACGCAGGGUAGCAGAAAAAGGAAUCGGAGGAGAAAACGGAAGCUUGGUGCUGAAGAAGAGAAUACAAGAACAGACAACAAGAAAUCAUACUACGAUGGUUCUAGGAAACAGUAUGAAUCGGAGUCCGUGGAAGAAAAACAUUUGAAUACAAAUGACUUGGCAUCAAGCUCCAGAAAAGAGGACGAUUUAAUAGGAAAAGUUUGUAAUGAACAGUUGGAGUUGCCACGAAUGAACGGUCACCGCGCUGGUUUCGAUGCUUUUAUGACGGGGUAUUGCUUCGCUUUUUAUCAGCUUGCUUGCCAACAGGAGGACAUCGAGGGGUCAAGAAACAAAGUUUACCUUACGGCGAAAGACCUCCCACUCAAUAUUAUGAGGAGUCAUUUUGCAAAAACCUCUUCUCGACACGAGAAAAUCAUGGCUGUACUUAAACCCGGGUGAUUCCUAGUUUUAGCAAAUUUUCUCUACUUUUGUAUUUUUCUUUAUUCUUGGCUGCCAUCUACAAACUUCGAACUUCCAAGGCUCACGUCCUUUUAGGUUUAUGUAAACGGUUUUACGAUUCAAAGUUGCGGACGAUUCAAAUCUUAUUUUCCUGAGGUAUUUUAAAAAAUUGCGAUAGAAAUUGCACAGGUAACAAUAGAUUUAUUUAAGCAGACAAGACUUGUUAAAUAAUGUUUAUAGUGGUAUUUUCAUGUGAUUUCCUGUUACUUUCGGGUUGCACUUGGAUUUAGUAAAUCGCUUUCCUUCAGGACCGGCGAAACCGGGGUGCCCGGGGGGCCAUGGCAAAGUAAAGUUUUUGAGGGAAAGAUAGAAAGAAAUCUUGUCUAUUUUAUCGUUAGUUAUGGUGCAGAAUAUUACCAAAAAUAUGUUUCGUUACAAUGUCUUUACCAUUAAAAUAUUUAGGGUACACACCUCGGGGGUACCUUAACAUGUUUGAAGGUACGGAGCGUGCCAUUUUUAGGGGCACUAUUUUCUGAAAAGUGCGGAAUUACCGGUAUCAGUUUUUGAAAUACAUAUUUGCGAAACUAUUGGUACCAUUGAAGAAACAUGCAAAGUUAUAGGUAUCGUUUUGUGAACAUAUUGCAAAAUUAUUAGGAGGGAGAUUAAGCAUUAACAAAAUGAAUGUCCUGUUAAAAAUUAAAGUAUGAAAUAUGUGUAAUAUUGAUAUUUUGGGGCAGAAGACAUACAAAAUUUGUUUAGUGAUUUUUUUGUGCUUUAAAAAUUUCGAUGGCUUAGUAUAGUUUUCAUCAUGUUGGCGGAAUUUUGAGUCACAUUUCCAGACAUGUGCGAAAUUUUGGAUCCAAAUUUUUAACCAAAAUGCACGUCCCCGUUCAAAAUUAGGCUUAGGAGCCCCAACACCCUGCCCUUCAAGGUACACAGAGAAGAUAGAGCAUGAGAAUUUCAUCGAAGAAACCGAUAGUCCAAGUUGUGCGCUACACGAUGCACUGUGCCUGCGAGUAACUAACAGCUUUUCCAAGGUGGCGGCUAGCUACCAACCAUUGUGCGGUCUUGGGAAUGCAUGGGAUUUUAGGAUGUCGGUGGAGAAACCGGACAAGACCAGAAAAACUUGGUGACGGAGUUUCAUGUUCUCUAUGACCCAAACCUGGCCCACAAGGCCUAUUUGUUAUCGGACAAGCUCUCAAAAAUAUUACAGAGUAACCUGUCUGCAGAGUAUGGCAGUUCUCGACGAGAUCUCGCGCGUGCAGUACUCAUUCACGCCAUGUUUUCUGCGUGCAAACCUUUCUUUACUGAUCAAUAGCGCUAUAGUAAAUUUGAUGUUCAAUCAGAAACUUUUGGCGUGCAGCACUAUCCUGACCUCGCGCGUGCGUCAGCCACACUCUGCAGACUCGCAGAGGGAACAGCAACUGUACGAGGAGAGGGAAUUGUUAGGGAAUAUAUUUCUAAGAUAGAAGGAAACUAAAAAUCGGUAGGUUUGUUCUUUGAAAGUAUUGUCGCAGAAGCUUCAAAUUACGAUUUAAUCGAUGAUUCUGUUCAGCCAAGAAAGAGACGAAGCGCUGAUUAAAAAGCUGGAAAAAACCUUGUGGUAGAGGGAGAUUUAGAUAAGGGCAAAAACUAUCCUUCCCCGCCAAAAAAACACUUCAGUCUACUUCAAAAUUAUUUUUUUUAAAAAUCUUUUUAAACAGCCUAGUUUGAAAGUUUCAAGUCUUCAGUCGUUUUUAUUAUACAAAAUAACACCUCAACUUGACGAGAUUGCUUAAUCCUUUUUUAUUUGAUGUAUUUUCCUUUUGAUUUUCUUAUUUCAUUGAUAUUCAUGUUUUAUUGCUAAAAUCUGCAUCGUUUACUACUCCUCUCUAAAUUACUUGAUUACUUAUUUGAUAGAAAGCAAUUUUAAUUAUACUCGUUGCGCUAAAGUGGUUAUUUUAGUAGAGCUUUGCAAGACUUUUCUUAUCUUAUGUCGACAUCGAAAUGGGUAAAACUUUAACAACCUGUGUUGUUAAUAAAGUAACAGUCUCGAAGGACGAAUUAUUGAAGAGCGAAGUCGAUAGUAAGAGACGUACGUCGUGUUAUUAUCUUAUUUCGAACCAACUAACUAUUUCUAAAUAAACACAGCGGUAUAUACAAGCAGCGAAGCGUAGCAUGAAAAACACAGCGGGAACAAAACAAAAGCUUAGAUGUUAUCACUACAGUACCUCCCCCCUAGAAUGCAAGCUCGAGAAAAGCAUUUGGGAUAAAAGUUAAUUAAACGUAUAUAAGAAUAUUCAGGCAUGUCCAUAUCUGUCGGGAAAAUGAACUUGUCUCCCUGAACGUGUCCUAGAAGUACCAGGUACUUGGUUCUCUACCGGCUUGGCCCUCGCUGAAGCAUGGUUUGAUGGGAAUGAUGUGUUUUUGGCAGUUGAACGUUGGUUAUCUGCAUCGGUAUAAGCAACUUUAAGACGAUCUAUGCUUAUUGUUUUUUGUUUUCCAUUGACAUCUACGAGGAAAUGUUUGUCAUUGCGCUUGAGAACCUUGAAAGGACCGUCGUAUGGAGGUUGAAACGGCUUUCGAACAGCAUCAUGGCGAACAAAAACGUGCGUACAAGAUGGAAGAUUAGCUGGGAUGUAUGUGUAAGCUUCUUGAGAACGGGGAGGAGUUGGUUUUAGUUGUUGCAUAAAACUUUGUAGACGAUCAACGAAAACAGAGGGAUCAAGGGCUGUGACAUCAAAUGUCGGAAAUAUGAAUUGACCUGGAAGACGAAGUGUGGAACCGUAAACAAGUUGGGCAGGUGAACAACCGAGGUCAGUUUUAAUCGUUGUCCGUAGUCCGAGGAGAAUGAGUGGAAGAAGGUCGAUCCAUCUUGUGGAAUCCGGUUGAGCUUUGAUUGAAGCUUUAAGCUGUCGAUGGAAACGCUCAACCAUGCCAUUGGCACAAGGGUGGUAAGAAGUAGUAUGAAUACGUUUGAUUCCAAGUAAAUGAGCGAGGGAACGGAAGAGAGCUGAUUCAAACUGAGCUCCUCUAUCAGUGGUUAUCGUUGAAGGAACACCGAAAGCUGCAAUCCAACGUGAAACAAAAGCUUGAGCGACGGUUUCUGCGGUAGCAUCUGAAAUUGGAAUCGCCUCUGGCCAACGAGUGUAGCGGUCGAUGCAAGUAAGAAGAUAUCUACAACCGUUUGAUGGUGGUAGAGGGCCAACAAGGUCUAUGUGUAUGUGAUCGAAACGUGUGUCAGUAGAUGGAAAAGUUCCAAUGGGGGAAAACGUGUGACGGGUGACUUUAGCCUGUUGGCAUGGGAUACAGGACCGAGUCCAAUUGCGGAUGUCUUUGUUGAUACUAGGCCAGAUGUAAUGUUGUCUGAUAAGUCGCUGUGUUGCACGAAUACCGGGAUGUGCAAGUGAGUGGAGGUGAUUAAACACAAGGCGGCGAUAACAGACAGGAACAUAUGGGCGAGGAGUGCCGGUUGAUAUGUCACAAAUGAUGGUUCCAGAAUCUGCCGGUAAAGGAAACUCUUUCAGAUUAAGAGAGGUGUUUGACUGUACCUGGUGGAAUUCAGAAUCUUGCUGUUGAGCUGCAGACAGUGUGACAAAGUCAAGGCUUGGAAUAUUGAGCAAGGAAUUGAGCUCAAUGCGAGAAAGAGCAUCAGCAACCACAUUCUGAUGGCCUUUUACGUGUCGUAUGUCAGAGGUGAAUUGAGAGAUAAAAUCAAGAUGGCGAAUUUCCCGUGGCGAAUAUCGAUCAGACGAAGAAGACAGUGCAUGAAGCAAUGGCUUGUGGUCUGUCAUAACAUGAAAUGCGCGUCCUUCCAAAAAGUACCGAAAGUGCUUGAUAGCUAAGUAGACGGAGAGUAGUUCUCGUCCAAAUGUGCUGUACUUCGUUUCGGCUGGUUGCAGGCGCUUUGAAAAGAAAGAAAUAGGUUGCCAGGCACCAUUGAGGAAUUGUUGAAGCACUGCUCCUACAGCCACAUUCGAAGCAUCAACAACUACACUGCAUGGUGCUACUGGUGAUGGGUGAACAAGAAGAGUAGCCCGGGAAAGUGCUGUUUUGAUCUCUGAGAAUGCAGAUAACGAAUCCACAGUUAGUUGGAACGGUUCUUUGGUAGACUUGGCAGAGAGAAGGUCGGUGAGAGGCUGUAUUAAUUGAGCACAGCAAGGCACAAAACGACGGUAGAAGUUGAUCAAUCCCAGGAACUCGCGAAGCUUUUUGAGCGAAGUAGGAGGAGGAAAAUCUUCGAUUGCUUGAACUCUUGUGGAAAGCGGUGAGAUUCCUUGUGGUGAAACAUGAUGUCCUAGGAAGUCAAUAUGAGAUUGGCCAAAAAUGCAUUUGGUAGGAUGAAUGACAAUACCAUGAUCGGAAAGACGAGAGAAUAAAAUUUCAAGAUGCAACAAAUGUUCUGCUUCAGAAUUGCUUGCGAUAAGUAAAUCAUCAAUGUAAGCAAAAACGAAAUCCAAACCACGAAGUACUUGGUGCAUGAAGCGCUGGAAUGUCUGUGCUGCAUUACGCAAUCCGAAUGGCAUGCGAACGAAUUCAAAAAGUCCAAAGGGAGUUGUUAUGGCAGUCUUAGGAAUGUCACUAGGUUCGACUGGAAUCUGAUGAUAGGCACGCACGAGAUCAAUUUUUGAGAAAAUGGUUUUUCCAUGCAGAGACGAAGAGAAAUCUUGGAUGUGUGGGAUGGGGUAGCGAUCGGGAACUGUAGCAUUGUUCAAGCCACGAUAAUCACCGCAAGGUCGCCAGUCGCCUUGAGUAGCCUUAGGAACCAUAUGCAACGGAGAAGACCAACUGCUUUUUGACGGUCGAAUGAUGCCAAGUUGUAACAUGUGAUCAAAUUCAGCCUUGGCAAUGAUCAAACGUUCAGAAGCAAGACGACGGGGACGAGCAAAUACAGGAGGGCCUGAAGUUGUGAUGUGAUGGGUGACGGUAUGCUUUACUUUUGAUUCGUUGUAUGAAGGACGGGCAAUGUCAGGAUACUUUUGAAGUAAGGCUUGGUAUGGCGAAGUAGUAUCAGGGGUUGCCAGCAUAGGAUGAGGUGAGCUGUCGGCGGACAAAAUACCUUGAAUGGUCAAAUUUGUUGUAGUGUCAAUGAGUUUCCGAUUUUUAACAUCAACUUUAAGGCCAAAAUGAGCAAGGAAAUCAGCGCCAAGAAUAGGAAACGGUAUUUCAGCAAUAAUAAAAAUCCACCUGUACGUGCGGCGAAGUCCGAGGUCUAUCGUUAAAGACUUUUCUCCGAAAGUACGAAUUGGCGACUUAUUCACAGCCUGUAAAGAAAUGUUUUGAGAAGUUUGUCUGUCAGUAGAAGAAGGAGGUAGAACGCUUACAUCAGCACCUGUAUCUACCAAGAAGCGUGUACCAGUGAUACGGUCGGUAAUAUAAAAGAGGCGACUGGAAGGAGCAGGACCAGCAGAACUAGUCGCCCUUAGUUGCUGGUGGCGUCGUUUCCCUGGUUUGAGGUGAAGCUUGAAAAGUUGCAUGGUGGAGUGCAAUUGCGAGCAAGUCGACCAUAACGUUGAUGGUACCAGCAGUAGGUAGAGUUUGAGGGUGCUGGGCUGGUGCGGCGAUUACGGCUGAUAGAGCGGCUUCGGCUACGCCCUGGGAAAUUAUUGGUUGGCUGUGUGUGGCUUAUGAGGGCUUGGACUUGAAAAGUCAGUUCCUCUACUUGAGAUCUGAGAGCAUGAACUUCAGAUGCGAUAGGCGGUGUAACAGGCGUGGGGGCCGGCGCUGACACGGUAGGUGUUAAAGAGGAGAUGCCAAGAGGGGUCGCAACCUCUAAAAUUUUGUCUGCUAAUAAAGCAACCUGCUCAACGGGAAGGGAGUCAGCAGUGGAGGCUAAAAUCAGCCUGACAUUGGUUGGUAACCUUCCCAAAAACAACUGUCGUAAAAUGUUGUUUUCUAGUGUAUUGUCUCCAAGCAGUUGUCGCAUAUGGCGCAGUAAUUGAGAGGGCUUCCGGUCACCCAGUUCUUCUGCAGUCAGCAGUUGGUGAAGCCGCUUUUGUUCAGAUGCGGAAGUACGCUGUAUGAGUUCGGCCUUGAGUGUAUCGUACUGCGUUGCUUGAGGGGGGUGGAUCAAAAUGUCGCGUACCUCCUGUGCGAUUUCAGGCUGGAGAGCGGAGAUUACAUAAGCAAACUUUGUAGCCUGUGAAGUUAUAUUUCUUGUGAAAAACUGGGCCUCUACUUGAGCAAACCAAACAAGGGGAUCGUUAGGCCAAAAAGGUGGAAGUUUGACACUUACCGAAGCAACUGGCGCUGGUUCUGAAGUCGUGGCGAUGGCUGCAGUUGCAGUAGUGCUGUCUGACGGUGGCGUGUUGGCGUCUGUAUUCAUGUCGAAUUGUAGACGUAGAAAUAAACGAAGUGGUCACCAAUUUAACAACCUGUGUUGUUAAUAAAGUAACAGUCUCGAAGGACGAAUUAUUGAAGAGCGAAGUCGAUAGUAAGAGACGUACGUCGUGUUAUUAUCUUAUUUCGAACCAACUAACUAUUUCUAAAUAAACACAGCGGUAUAUACAAGCAGCGAAGCGUAGCAUGAAAAACACAGCGGGAACAAAACAAAAGCUUAGAUGUUAUCACUACAAAACUAUGGGACAUAAUAAUGAAAAAAGCUUGAUAAUGUUGCCUUGAAUUUCAUCCAGUAAAUUUUUCGUGCCGCCGACCAGGAUGUAGUGCCAUCAAAAUAACAAGGGGGCUCUGAGCCCAUCUAGCACUACACCCCUACCGCCAACCAUGGUAGCGGCCUUUCCUAAAACCUUCCACUGUCUUGACAUUUUGUCCCCUCCACUUUCAAAAACGUUUCUCUGGCCCUGUUCAUCUAUUGUAAAAAUUAAAAUGUCAUUGUUAGGAAAUUAUCCAAAAAAAUUCACGGGCGUGAUUCGAGGACAAGGUAGAUAGUUCAUAUCUAUUUAAAUUAGUUAACCUCAUUCGAUUCCUCGCAUUUGUGGGCCCCCCUUGUGGUUGUUCGGGAUUGUUCAUGUCUGAGUCUUAUUGAGUUGCAUUCAUUGCCUCGCAGCGGAACUUAGGCCACGUGAAAUAAUAUGGCGUACAAAAUGGCGCAUAAACUGUGCCAUAUCAGAUGCCAUCAUUCAAGUAGACGUUUUAUGAUGACUUGUUCUAGUAUGGCUGGGACCAGAAAUAUCUACGAAAGACAGAAGUCGCUUCUUUUUUACAACCAUUAUCUACAAACAUA
Molecule: non-coding RNA, 9144 nt
Organism: Rhopilema esculentum
Lineage: Eukaryota; Metazoa; Cnidaria; Scyphozoa; Rhizostomeae; Rhizostomatidae
Source: RefSeq, a predicted model, not a curated record